UUGAAUGGGGUUGUUAGUUUUUUUUGUCUUUUUGAAAUUGAAGUCAAUAUGGUUAAGUUCAUUCACAAGUUUGAUUAAGAAAAAGUUUGAAAAUUCAUCGGCAUAAGGCCGAAGUUUCUAAUCAUUAAAACAUGUCUAAGUUAGAAAACACAAAAAAAGAAAGUUUUUGAAAAGAGGGAGAUAUUUUGAAAUUUAAGAAG
This 200-nucleotide long non-coding RNA is filed under the name Lathyrus oleraceus (garden pea). RNAcentral describes it as "Pisum sativum (pea) long non-coding RNA (PSAT_LNC005301)". Lineage: Eukaryota; Viridiplantae; Streptophyta; Magnoliopsida; Fabales; Fabaceae. The record is from RNAcentral.